This 76-nucleotide small RNA is filed under the name Xanthomonas pisi. RNAcentral's name for it is "sX9 sRNA". It matches the Rfam family "Xanthomonas sRNA sX9". The record is from RNAcentral. Lineage: Bacteria; Pseudomonadati; Pseudomonadota; Gammaproteobacteria; Lysobacterales; Lysobacteraceae.
AUGUACCACUCGUACACUCCGGUUCCUGCGCGCCGUCCGCACCCACCUGGCGACUGCUCGCUACGUUUUGUGAGCC